UACGUAGGGUGCGAGCGUUAAUCGGAAUUACUGGGCGUAAAGGGUGCGCAGGCGGUUUUGUAAGCCAGGUGUGAAAUUCCCGGGCUCAACCUGGGAAUGGCAUUUGGGACUGCAAGGCUGGAGUGCGGCAGAGGAGACUGGAAUUCCCGGUGUAGCAGUGAAAUGCGUAGAUAUCGGGAGGAAUACCGAUGGCGAAGGCAGGUCUCUGGGCUGACACUGACGCUCAUGCACGAAAGCGUGGGGAGCAAACAGG
This 253-nucleotide ribosomal RNA is filed under the name uncultured bacterium. RNAcentral describes it as "partial 16S ribosomal RNA". It matches the Rfam family "Bacterial small subunit ribosomal RNA", at positions 524 to 776 of the family's 1533-position model. The record is from RNAcentral.